RNAcentral lists this ribosomal RNA (523 nucleotides) under Acanthaster planci (crown-of-thorns starfish). Its description in RNAcentral is "partial 16S ribosomal RNA". It matches the Rfam family "Archaeal large subunit ribosomal RNA", at positions 1942 to 2630 of the family's 2987-position model. The record is from RNAcentral. Lineage: Eukaryota; Metazoa; Echinodermata; Asteroidea; Valvatida; Acanthasteridae.
GGGUCCUGCCUGCCCGGUGACUUAGUUAAACGGCCGCGGUAUCUUGACCGUGCGAAGGUAGCAUAAUCAUUUGCCCUUUGAAUGGGGGCUGGUAUGAAUGGCAAGACGGAGGUCCGACUGUCUCCCUCUCAGAUCUUGAACUUGAUAUCCUCGUGAAGAAGCGGGGGUGUAGUCGUGGGACGAGAAGACCCUAUCGAGCUUUAGUUGGUUGCACAAGUUGGUCUGGCUGCUUAGGGGCUAAUAUCCCUUUUCUGAAGGGGAUGAGUUUACCGCCCAGGUUGUCUGGCUGUGUGCUUGUCGCUUUAGUUGGGGCAACUGCGGAGAAUAGUUAUCCUCCGCUUUACAAGCAUUUGGUGAAGUGUCAGCUUUCAUGCAAGCGUUGUUUUUCGAGGACCCGCCGGUAGAAGGCGAUUGGAGGAACAAGUUACCGUAGGGAUAACAGCGUAAUUUUCUUGGAGAGUUCUUAUUGAUAAGGAAGUUUGCGACCUCGAUGUUGGAUCGGGAUUACCUAGGGGUGCAGCAG